Molecule: ribosomal RNA, 484 nt
Filed under: uncultured bacterium
Lineage: Bacteria
Description: partial 16S ribosomal RNA
Rfam family: Bacterial small subunit ribosomal RNA
Source: RNAcentral
AUUGAACGCUGGCGGCAUGCUUUACACAUGCAAGUCGAACGGCAGCGCGGGCUUCGGCCUGGCGGCGAGUGGCGAACGGGUGAGUAAUACAUCGGAACGUGCCCAGUAGUGGGGGAUAGCUCGGCGCAAGCCGGAUUAAUACCGCAUACGACCUGAGGGUGAAAGCGGGGGAUCUUCGGACCUCGCGCUAUUGGAGCGGCCGAUGGCAGAUUAGCUAGUUGGUGGGGUAAAGGCCUACCAAGGCGACGAUCUGUAGCUGGUCUGAGAGGACGACCAGCCACACUGGGACUGAGACACGGCCCAGACUCCUACGGGAGGCAGCAGUGGGGAAUUUUGGACAAUGGGCGAAAGCCUGAUCCAGCAAUGCCGCGUGUGUGAUGAAGGCCUUCGGGUUGUAAAGCACUUUUGGCGGGAACGAAAAGGACUGUGCCAAUACCACGGUUCGAUGACGGUACCCGCAGAAUAAGCACCGGCUAACUACGUG